This 696-nucleotide ribosomal RNA is filed under the name uncultured bacterium. RNAcentral describes it as "bacterial SSU rRNA". It matches the Rfam family "Bacterial small subunit ribosomal RNA", at positions 32 to 715 of the family's 1533-position model. The record is from RNAcentral.
AACGCUAGCUACAGGCUUAACACAUGCAAGUCGCGGGGUAACAUCUGGUAGAGCUUGCUCUUCCAGGAUGACGACCGGCGCACGGGUGAGUAACGCGUAUCCAACCUGGCCCAUACCACGGGAUAGCCCGUCGAAAGGCGGAUUAAUACCGUAUGGCAUUCUAAGGUUUCAUGACAUUAGAAUUAAAGGUUUACCGGUAAUCGAUGGGGAUGCGUUCCAUUAGAUAGUAGGCGGGGUAACGGCCCACCUAGUCAACGAUGGAUAGGGGUUCUGAGAGGAAGGCCCCCCACAUUGGAACUGAGACACGGUCCAAACUCCUACGGGAGGCAGCAGUGAGGAAUAUUGGUCAAUGGACGAGAGUCUGAACCAGCCAAGUAGCGUGCAGGACGACGGCCCUAUGGGUUGUAAACUGCUUUUAUAAGGGAAUAAAGUGAGCUACGUGUAGCUUUUUGCAUGUACCUUAUGAAUAAGGACCGGCUAAUUCCGUGCCAGCAGCCGCGGUAAUACGGAAGGUCCGGGCGUUAUCCGGAUUUAUUGGGUUUAAAGGGAGCGUAGGCCGGAGAUUAAGCGUGUUGUGAAAUGUAGUGGCUCAACCUCUGCACUGCAGCGCGAACUGGUCUUCUUGAGUACGCACAACGUGGGCGGAAUUCGUGGUGUAGCGGUGAAAUGCUUAGAUAUCACGAAGAACUCCGAUUG